RNAcentral lists this ribosomal RNA (429 nucleotides) under bacterium. RNAcentral's name for it is "partial 16S ribosomal RNA". It matches the Rfam family "Bacterial small subunit ribosomal RNA", at positions 355 to 776 of the family's 1533-position model. The record is from RNAcentral.
UAGGGAAUCUUCGGCAAUGGGGGCAACCCUGACCGAGCAACGCCGCGUGAGUGAAGAAGGUUUUCGGAUCGUAAAGCUCUGUUGUAAGAGAAGAACGUGUGUGAGAGUGGAAAGUUCACACAGUGACGGUAACUUACCAGAAAGGGACGGCUAACUACGUGCCAGCAGACGCGGUAAUACGUAGGUCCCGAGCGUUGUCCGGAUUUAUUGGGCGUAAAGCGAGCGCAGGCGGUUUAAUAAGUCUGAAGUUAAAGGCAGUGGCUUAACCAUUGUUCGCUUUGGAAACUGUUAAACUUGAGUGCAGAAGGGGAGAGUGGAAUUCCAUGUGUAGCGGUGAAAUGCGUAGAUAUAUGGAGGAACACCGGUGGCGAAAGCGGCUCUCUGGUCUGUAACUGACGCUGAGGCUCGAAAGCGUGGGGAGCAAACAGG